RNAcentral lists this long non-coding RNA (396 nucleotides) under Setaria viridis. RNAcentral's name for it is "long non-coding RNA (SVIR_LNC001245)". Lineage: Eukaryota; Viridiplantae; Streptophyta; Magnoliopsida; Poales; Poaceae. The record is from RNAcentral.
UGGAAUUCGAUUGGAAUUUCUUUUGUCUCCACAAGAUCGUCUGUUCAUAUCUUCAAUCAGAUUAGAAGGCAGAUGAACACCGCCUUCUUCAUGGAAGUCAUCAUCCUCAUGUCUUGGAGUAUUUGGACCACAAGGAAUGACUGGACUUUCAAUAAUGUGGAUCCUUUGACUUCAGGAACUCGAUCUAAAUUUUUGUCUGAGCUCUCGUUGGUGGCUUCGCAUAGGAUGAACCCUGUUUUAAGUUAGGAAUGUUUAGAUUGGAUCCACUCCCUCUGAACCUCCUCUUUGUCCCCUGUUUUUUACUUUUCUCUUGUUUGUUGUUUUGGUGUUUUUUGCUCUGUAACCUUUUCAGACCUUUCUUUAAUAUAUUUCAGUAGGGCUCGUCCCUCCUGUUUC